GUGGUGCAUUGGAGACUGAUGUGUUCCUGUCCUGUCUUUUCAUAAUACUAUUGCAGAUCGACAUAAAAGCCUAAAAGACAGCCGUGGUGUCGCUCUUCAUUUCUUGGUUCUCCUGUGGUGCAUAAGAAACCCGCUACAGAUUGGUGCCGUGACCCGGAUCAACAGAUCAGCUGCAGCAGAUCGCCGGGGGACCCCUAAACAGAACUGGAUCGACAUCACACGUUUAAAACAUUUGAGGGCAAGAACAACUUGUCAGGUGGUGCAUUGGAGACUGAUGUGUUCCUGUCCUGUCUUUUCAUAAUACUAUUGCAGAUCGACAUAAAAGCCUAAAAGACAGCCGUGGUGUCGCUCUUCAUUUCUUGGUUCUCCUGUGGUGCAUAAGAAACCCGCUACAGAUUGGUGCCGUGACCCGGAUCAACAGAUCAGCUGCAGCAGAUCGCCGGGGGACCCCUAAACAGAACUGGAUCGACAUCACACGUUUAAAACAUUUGAGGGCAAGAACAACUUGUCAGGUGGUGCAUUGGAGACUGAUGUGUUCCUGUCCUGUCUUUUCAUAAUACUAUUG
This 565-nucleotide long non-coding RNA is filed under the name Salmo salar (Atlantic salmon). RNAcentral describes it as "lncRNA (ENSSSAG00000118235.1)". Lineage: Eukaryota; Metazoa; Chordata; Actinopteri; Salmoniformes; Salmonidae. The record is from RNAcentral.